Homo sapiens (human) is the source of this 1477-nucleotide non-coding RNA. NCBI's taxonomy places the organism in Eukaryota, Metazoa, Chordata, Mammalia, Primates, Hominidae. The record is from RefSeq.
AGAAGUGAGCAAAGGUGCAGCUGGAGUAAAGUGUCUUCGAAGAGCCAACAGGCUUCCAAGUUAAAUCAUGCCUUUUUUUCAUUUGUUUUUUGUGUUGAUUGCUGCCCCAGAUGGAGUCUCACUCUGUCGCCCAGGCUGGAGUGCAGUGGUGCGUAUUUGGCUCAAUCCAACUUCUACUUCCUGGAUUCAAGUGAUUCACCUGCCUCAGCCUCCUGAGUAGCUGGGAGAUUACAGUUUUUCAGUGGUUAUUAAAGUGUUGACUCUGGAGGACUGUUUACAGCUGGAAAUCUAAAGAUUUUUCUCAUCAAUGUACACAAUAAGGACCCCAUUCUUAUCUACAGCAACUGUGACCUUCAUUGUGAAGGUUGCUCCUGCCAGUGACUUCAGCCCUGUAUUUAAAGCUGCACACUAUUCAUUCUCUGUUCCGGAAACGUUGGGAGCAUUCUAUAAAGUUGGAAGAGUGAUUGCCAUUGAUGAAGAGCACCCACCAAAUUGUGUGACAUACGAAAUAGCCAAUGGAGACACCCAGGUUAUACAAAGAUUCUGGAUUCAUCCUCUCUCUGGAAUGAUCGAACUUACCACACAGCCAGACUGUGAGUCUGUGAAGCAAUAUAACCUCACCGUGGAAGCUGUGGACUGUGACAGAUUUCACCCUUGUACAGCAAUGACCCAAAGAAAAGGUCUGAUCGUCCUGUACACAGCUAUAAACACGUACAAAUCCAAUGACUGGUACAUUCCUCUUAUCUUCACUCUGAUGGCUAUUUUCUUUGCUGGGUUGAUUUCCUGGGUAUGUUUCCUGCUUUGGAAAUAUGGGAACAUUAUGGAAUGCUGUCAGAAAAUGACCAAGGAAGUCUCCAAGGCCAAACCCAAAGGAAUUAAGUAUAUUGCAGGCGAUGGAAAUCAAAAGGAAAAUAUUGUCACAGGACACAGAAAUAAAAAAUUAGAAGUAUUAACAUCUCUGGGAACGUAUAUUAAUAUAAUAGCAGAACAGGUGCAAGAAAGUGGAAGAAGACCUCCAGGCACCAGAAGGAGCCCUUGGCAAACAUACAUUCCCUCCUAGAGGUCCAUCCUUUAGAGGAGUCCACAUCCUUAAAAAUUCAUUUGCAAGGAUAGCAUUUUUCCAGCUCCUGAAUGAUUGCUUUUUUGUGUAUAUGAUUGUCACAGGCAGUUUUUCUUGGCUACCUAAAAUUAUAGACAUGAGGCCAGCUGCUUUGUCUGUGUUUAUAGCUUUCUGUGGUCUUCCAUUUCAGGGUGUCUGUGUGAAGGCGGCAGGAGUGGUGAGCUUUGAAUCUCUGAAUAUGUUUUGCUGAAAACAAGAUACUAAAUUGACAUAUGUUCAUUGUCUUACUUUGCCCAGUAGAGUAUAUGCUUUUUAAGAUCAGAGACUAUUUUGCUCACUGCUUUAGCCCCAGUGCAUGUUUGGCACAGAGUGGGGGCUCUGUAUACAUUUGUGAAUAAAUAAAUUUGAAUAUAUGAA